UAUUAGGGCUAACCCCAAAUCCUCUCCUUUUUUAUACUCCACCAUUCCCUAGCUAUGAUCACCCAUUUUAUUCUGCAAGCUCAAGCUAAGCCAGUCGAUUUUCCGAUCAUUAUGUACCAAGUCCAGUCAUGUAGGUACUAUUCGUCAACGAUGUCAAAUAAAUGUUUGCCAACGGAAGAAUCUAUAGUAAUGGAAAUAAGGUAUAUGAUCUCAGAAAAGCAUAACACUGUGAUUAACAUUCAAUCCAAAUGAUUAACCAAUCAAAAAAGGUCAAAUACAGUUUUAUAGUAUCAAGAGUUAACUAACCCAAUCACUAACUGAACCAUCACUAAUUAACUACAGUAAACUAAAUAUUGUUGAUUUAAGAGAAAAGAACCAACAAAAUCUGGAGAAUUCAUCAAUAAUUAAAAGAUAGUAUUUAUCUCCAUUGAUUGAUGGAGUUGGAGCCGGGUCCCAUACUUUCAUAUGAAGUAUUUCUAAAGGUAUAUUACUAUUUUCUUCCCUACAACUAAAUGACUUCUUCUUCAUUUUAUUUAGGGAGCAAUGUAUACAAUUUUAUUUUAAAUUUUUGUAAUUAAUUUUAUGAUAUUUUAAAAGUAUUUGGGUUGAAGGGUGUCAACACCUUUUAUGUCAUAAUUCUAUUGAAUUUAUUGUUAACUUAGAAGUGUUGGAUCGUGAUCCAAGGCUAUAAGGGGAGAUAAUAGUCUCUUUUCGAUUUAUACAGGUUGAUUGCGGAAUUACAUGUAACCACUUAAGACACAAAUGGUUGAACAAUAAUGAUAUCGGAAUAUUAUAACUCUGAAUGAUAUAAUAACGUAAUUAUUACUCUUCGAAGCUUACUACAGUAUAUGAAUACUGAGUCAACUUGCUUGAUAGUGUUUUACAACCAACUGAAUCAGUAUAUGAGUACUAAGUUAUAUUGUAAACACAAGUUAUAUUAUAGAGUAACUGACCAGAUAACUGGAUAUAUUGAUAAGCAAGUAAAUGACCAGAUAACUGGAUGUAUAUAUUUGAUAAGUAGAUGCUUGAAAGAAAUUAAGGCAAGUAAUAUAACCUCAAAUAGUUGACUAGAUAACUGGAUGAGGGAUCUGCUGAAAAAUAGUCAACCUCUAUAUUUGACCAGAUAACUGGAAGAGGGAUCUUUUUUAAUUAAAUGUUGUUUAGUUGUUUUUAUAAGAAAUAUAUAAAACUAAAGUUAACAAAAAACAACACAAGAGAUUUAUACUGGUUCACCCAAACAAGGGUUAAUCCAUUCCCGACCAACUGUCAGAAUUUACUAGCCUAAAGGUUAUGACAAAACCUUAGUCUAGAGUAUCAAGGAAACUCUUAAGAACUUUUCUAAGCUUUAAGGCUACUUCGUUUAGGAACCAGUCUUUUACGGGUAGACUCACACCUUAGAGGAUCAAGGGCACUCUUAAGAACCUCUAACUUUUGCGGGUAAGUUAGUACCUUAGAGUAUCAAGGAACUCUUAAAAAUCUCUCUAAGUUUUAAGGCUACUUCACUUAGGAACCAGUCUUUUACGGGUAGACUCACACCUUAGAGUAUCAAGGGCACUCUUAAGAACCUCUAACUUUUACGGGUAAAUUAGUAUCUUAGAGUAUCAAGGAACUUUUAAAAACCUAGAAAUCUUUCAAGGUAGAUUCGACCUAAGAGUUUUCCCGGAAACUCUAUAAAAUCAAACUAGAGCUUUAUGGUUAAGCUCAAAAACCUUCUCUCACACUUUGGUACUAUUGAGACAAUUCUCUCAACCAUAGUGAACACACACAAGAAGUGAUUAGAGGAGUGGAAUAUUAAAGCAAACAAUACUUCUUACUUGUAAAGAUGAACAAGAAGAUUAAAAGAAAAAGUUGAAGAGCUUUUGAAGCUUUGGAAAGCUAUAGGACACUUGAGCACUUGAAAGCUUGGAAGCUUGAAGGCAAAAACGUGUGGGCAAAUGUGAAGUGAAAGCUCUUUGAAUGUUUGUAGUGUGGUGAGUGAAAAUGAGGGGAUUACCCUUCUAUUUAUAGCCUUGGCCACUCAAUGUCCACCCUUGGAUCUUCAAUGGAUGGCUCCUUGAUUUCUCACAUAAAUCUAAGCAUUGUCUUUGAUCAUAUCUUGAAUAGUGCUUUUUUUGGAUAGAGUUUGUUAGAAAAUCUUAUCUUUGAAUAAAUUCAAACUUGACUAGUGUUUUGUCCCCUUGGAAUAUUAUACCUUGAAUAAAGUGUCAAAAGAUAAUAAUAAUAAUAUUCGAGGAAAAAUUCAAUUAUUCCAAAAAAUAAUAUUCAAAGUAAAAAUGCAAUUGUCCCAAUUUGACUUUUAACUUUGACUUAAACUCUUAACUUAAAUGAUUAAUUAAUUAACUGGAGUUAGGUUUAAUAUCGAUUGACUUAUUUAACCUCUAUUGAUUAAUAGUGUAAUUAAAAUUAAAAUUGACAUGAUUAAAAUAUAAUGCUAUGUCGACAAUUUUGAUUCUACAAGAAGUUGCUGCCAACUUUUUAGUUUCAUACAUAUUUGAUGAGUUUAAGUAAUAUAAGUCUCCAUGACUUUUACCCUUAAUUAGAUCCUCACCACUUUCAUUAUCUUGAAUAAUGAAUCCAGAUUCAUUUAAAAUGAAACUACAUUUUAAAUCUCCUUGGUCAUUGAUCUUAUGGAUAAUAAGUUCAUUUUCAUGUCAGGAACACAAAGAGUAUUCCUUAAUGGAAUCUCUCCACUAUCUGAUUUUAAUCUAACAGUUCCUAUAUGUGAAAUUUUUAAACCUAAACCAUUACUAAUUGUAAUAUUAUUCAUACCAGAAUACUCUUGAAUGUCAGAGAGAGCUUCCAAGUCAGGAGUCAUGUGCUUAGUCGCUCCUGAAUCAAGUAGCCAAUUUUCUUCUGGAGCAUCUUCAUUUGCUUCCAUAGCCACAGCAAAAGUUUUCAACCCUUUUCUGCAAGUCCUAGCAUUGUGACCUGUUCUUUCACAGAGUUGACAAAUUAUUGAAUUGUUGUUACUUGAGUUGUUGUUGUUUGAUCGACGCCAUCUGUUGUUGUUUGAUCUGUCUCGAUUUCCAUUUCCAUUAUUAUUGUAUUUUUGAUGAUUGUUAUUGUUAUUGUAAUAAUCUCUGUUUCUGUUUUGACGAUCUUGUCCUCUCUUAUAAUUUGCAGUAAACUCAGCGGGUGCAUCAGAGUUUGCCGGAGUUGCCAAAUUCAUUCUAUGAAUGUACUUGUCUUCUUGAAUAACUAGUUGUACAAAUUCAUCAUAAAUCAGAUUUCGUUGAGAACGUAGACCCGAAACAAAGGGACGAAAAUCUACACCCAGUCUAUCUGUGACAAAGUCUAUUUUUUUCUUGUCAGUGACAACUUCACCGGCCGCUGUCAAAGAAUCAGUUAAAAAUGUUACUUUGAUUAUGAAAUAUCUAAUCGAUUCAUCUUCUCCUUUUCUUUAAAAUUCUGAGCUCGUCCCGAAUUGCUUGUUGAUGCACUGCCUUUCUUGGCGAUAGAUGCGACUAUAAUUUCUUCCAGCACUCAUAUGCUGUACUGUGAUUCAUUACUAAUGAAAACAUUGGUGGUCCAACUGAAGAUUCAAUCCACCCAAGCACUGCUCAAUUCUUUUCCAACCAUAUCUGAUGAGCCGGAUUAGGUGAGCCAUCGCCCUUUUUUUCAAGCGGAAUUUCUUGUUUAUCAUCCACAAUAUCAGAAACAUGAUUUAACCGGAAUAAAUUCUCCAUUUGACCUCUCCAAAAGAGAUAUGUUGAUGCUCCUUCUAGCGGAGUUCUAAUCCAGUGGGAGACUUGACAUUUAUAUAGAGCAUCGGAGAGAGUACCCUUGUCAUGGUUUGUCAUCGGAAAACCACAAAUCAGAAAUCACCACUGCAGUGAAAAAAAAUCACCACUGCAUAUUUCUGAAUGAAUCUCAAAUCAAAUACGAUGAAGAAAAAAAGAAAAAAAUUCUACAUAAUGCAAUAUAAAAAAACCCAGUAAACUAAAGAAUAACAAAAUCUUAGGCAAUGUUAAAAUUCGAUAUAAAAAAAACUAAAUCUGCAAUGACAUUACUAGUUGCAAACUAAGCAUAAUAUCAAACAGUAAUGACAAAUAAGCAAUACUAUCGCAACUAACAAUCAAUGGAGAUACAAUCGCAACUAACAAUUGCAAAUAAUAUCAAAUAAGCAAUCCCAAAAAAAAAUUUGAGAUAAAAACAAUCUGAUAAGCAAUCGAAAGAAAAUUGCAAAUCUGAUAGCAGACCUGUAAUCACAAGUCAAAAGAGAGGGAAAAAACAAAUCGCUGACCUGUAAUCGCAGAAUCCACAAUGGCACGUGACCUGUAGUUUUCAAAGAACCCGCAAAAUAAAAGAAAAACAAAACGCAAAUCUCUAACCUAUAAUUUGCAAAUCACGCGAUCUGGAAAUCGCAAAUCUGUGGAGAUCUUGCAACGUGAUAACCUUGCAAAAUCGUGCGAACCUUCGAAAUCCCAAAUCUUCAAAGAAUCGCAAAUCGCAUAACGGAAAGAUCGCAAAUCGUGCGAAUCCCGGAUCCCAAAUCGCAAAUCGCAGAGUCACGGAAGAAUAAUCGCGGAAGGCAGUCGCGGAAGACAGUCGCGGAAAGCAGACGAUCGCGGAAGGCAAACGAUCGCGGAUGUAGGCGAUCACAGAAGAAUCACGUUCAGCGAUCGGCAGUGAAGCGAGAAAUUUCCGUGAAUUUCGGGAGGAAAAAAAAACCAAAAUCGAUUCCGUGAAUUAGUUAACAGUGAAGCGAGAAAUCUGAUACCAUCUCAAAAAAUAACACUGUGAUUAACAUUCAAUUCAAAAGAUUAACCAAUCAAAAAAGGUCAAAUACAGUUUUAUAGUAUCAAGAGUUAACUAACCCAAUCACUAACUGAACCAUCACUAAU
RNAcentral lists this long non-coding RNA (4844 nucleotides) under Zostera marina. RNAcentral describes it as "long non-coding RNA (ZMAR_LNC000734)". The record is from RNAcentral. Lineage: Eukaryota; Viridiplantae; Streptophyta; Magnoliopsida; Alismatales; Zosteraceae.